This 250-nucleotide unclassified non-coding RNA is filed under the name plant metagenome. Its description in RNAcentral is "partial contains small subunit ribosomal RNA, internal transcribed spacer 1, and 5.8S ribosomal RNA". The stretch from base 178 to 250 matches the Rfam family "5.8S ribosomal RNA", at positions 1 to 59 of the family's 154-position model. The record is from RNAcentral.
GUAGGUGAACCUGCGGAGGGAUCAUUACCGAGUGAGGGUCCUCUGGGCCCGACCUCCAACCCUUUGAUAUCCGACUCUGUUGCCUCGGGGGCGACCCGGCCCUCACGGGCGUCGGGGCCCCCGGUGGACCACACCAACCCUGUAUCCGUACGUCCGAGUAACAACCGAAUAAGUUAAAACUUUCAACAACGGAUCUCUUGGUUCUGGCAUCGAUGAAGAACGCAGCAUCUGACUGACUUCAGGUUGCGGA